GAGUGUUACAUUCUCUUUCGGAAUUUGUCUAGCAGGUUUGCCGGUCCUCACUGGAAGACCCCC
Molecule: small nuclear RNA, 63 nt
Filed under: Microcebus murinus (gray mouse lemur)
Lineage: Eukaryota; Metazoa; Chordata; Mammalia; Primates; Cheirogaleidae
Description: U7 small nuclear RNA (ENSMICG00000026212.3)
Rfam family: U7 small nuclear RNA
About the family: Animal histone pre-mRNAs are spliced by a different mechanism than nuclear pre-mRNAs and self-splicing introns. This processing involves the U7 snRNP, which contains only one RNA species: U7. The 5' end of U7 RNA is thought to base-pair to a conserved spacer element downstream of the cleavage site in histone pre-mRNA.
Source: Rfam by way of RNAcentral